RNAcentral lists this ribosomal RNA (253 nucleotides) under uncultured bacterium. RNAcentral's name for it is "partial 16S ribosomal RNA". It matches the Rfam family "Bacterial small subunit ribosomal RNA", at positions 524 to 776 of the family's 1533-position model. The record is from RNAcentral.
UACGUAGGGGGCAAGCGUUGUCCGGAAUCAUUGGGCGUAAAGGGUGCGCAGGUGGCGCGGCAAGUCGGAUGUGAAAUCCCGGGGCUCAACCCCGGAACUGCAUUCGAUACUGCCGUGCUAGAGUGCUGGAGAGGAGAUUGGAAUUUACGGUGUAGCAGUGAAAUGCGUAGAUAUCGUAAGGAAGACCAGUGGCGAAGGCGGAUCUCUGGACAGCUACUGACACUGAGGCACGAAGGCCAGGGGAGCAAACGGG